CUUUAAUAUAAUUUAUUACAUAAGAUCAUAAGAUUUAUAUAAAUGAUGGCUGGCAGUUUGCCAGAAUGAGAUAUGUACAAUUAAAAAACAAAUUAAAGAAAAAAAUAAUAAAACCAAACACUUUCCCACAAAAUUAAUUGCAUAUAUAUUAAAGAAAAAAACAGAAACAAAUCGGACUAUGUGCAAUGGAAUGAUUAUCAGCAAUAUUGUACAGUUACAUUUCUGAGGUUGUCUCAUGAAGAAAUAAAGGACAAGAAUCACAAACAAAAAGGCAUUUUCUAUGCAAGAUCAACACAAUAUUUAAACAACAAAUUCUUAAUCUGAAAAGCACAUCUCCUAUUCUGAGUAUCGCAACCAGAUGCGAGGAAACGUCUGUUCCCGAAUGUCAUCUAAGAGUCGCUACGGAUCCUCAGUCACAGCUUGAGGAAUCACUUUCACUUUCACUAAAGAGACAGCACAAAUUGCUAGUCCGCGCUAUGCGGCGGCAGUGCUAAACAUCGUUUCGAUUUGCAGUACCAUGAAUACAGUGAGCGCGAUGUCUUAUCUACAGUGUCACAGUGUUUUAUGACGGGCCUCCCUCGAGAUGAUGUUACUUUCAUAUGUUGCGGUUCCUAACUCUGACAGUAUGCCGUUCACUAGCACACAUACAGCGGAGAAAUACCAUGUCAAGUGUUGCAGUCACUGGCCUCAAGAGAGGAAUCUCUGCGAGGUAUUUUUUUCACGUAGAUCCACUAGUAUAAUACAUUGGUUAACGCACCACACCAUGCUAGUUAAGUAGGGUGUUUGGUUUUGUGUAGUUUUUGGA
Molecule: long non-coding RNA, 805 nt
Organism: Sinocyclocheilus anshuiensis
Lineage: Eukaryota; Metazoa; Chordata; Actinopteri; Cypriniformes; Cyprinidae
Exons: 3
Source: RefSeq, a predicted model, not a curated record